CUCCCUCCUCACCUCAUAUUCCAAAACACGCCUCCUUGCAAUUUCUGAUAUUAUCAUCUCCUCUCUAAUUCGUUGCUUUUCAAUCUCUCUCUGAAUUGAUUCAUACAAGUCAUGAGGUUGAAGUAAAGGAUGAUGGUGAGGCUGAGGCUGAGGCUGAGGCUGAGGCUGAGGCUGAGGCUGAGGCUGAGGCUGAGGCUGAGGCUGAGGCUGAGGCUGAGGCUGAGGCUGAGGCUGAGGCUGAGGCUGAGGCUGAGGCUGAGGCUGAGGCUGAGGCUGAGGCUGAGGCUGAGGCUGAGGCUGAGGCUGAGGCUGAGGCUGAGGCUGAGGCUGCGGGUGAGGCUGAGGGUGAAGUUGACUACGGUCUUGCAAGUACUCACAAUGGAAACGACCUGCAAAUGAGCCCGUAUAGCCAGCUGAAACAACAGAGUAAAAUUAUCAAAAAUAUUGACAGUAGCCGAUCAGAAAAUCCCAAGAUAAAAAAUAAUCCAAACUUGAUCGAUAGACAGAGAAAAAAAU
Molecule: long non-coding RNA, 516 nt
Filed under: Olea europaea (common olive)
Lineage: Eukaryota; Viridiplantae; Streptophyta; Magnoliopsida; Lamiales; Oleaceae
Description: long non-coding RNA (OEUR_LNC004310)
Source: RNAcentral